CAGUAGCCGCGGUAAUACGUAGGGUGCAAGCGUUAAUCGGAAUUACUAAGCGUAAAGCGUGCGCAGGCGGUUAUAUAAGACAGAUGUGAAAUCCCCGGGCUCAACCUGGGAACUGCAUUUGUGACUGUAUAGCUAGAGUACGGCAGAGGGGGAUGGAAUUCCGCGUGUAGCAGUGAAAUGCGUAGAUAUGCGGAGGAACACCGAUGGCGAAGGCAAUCCCCUGGGCCUGUACUGACGCUCAUGCACGAAAGCGUGGGGAGCAAACAGGAUUAGAUACCCCUGUAGUCCCUGUCUCUUAUAC
This 301-nucleotide ribosomal RNA is filed under the name uncultured bacterium. RNAcentral describes it as "partial 16S ribosomal RNA". It matches the Rfam family "Bacterial small subunit ribosomal RNA", at positions 509 to 807 of the family's 1533-position model. The record is from RNAcentral.